AAACUGUUGCCUCGGCGGGAUCUCUGCCCCGGGUGCGUCGCAGCCCCGGACCAAGGCGCCCGCCGGAGGACCAACCAAAACUCUUUUUGUAUACCCCCUCGCGGGUUUUUUAUAAUCUGAGCCUUCUCGGCGCCUCUCGUAGGCGUUUCGAAAAUGAAUCAAAACUUUCAACAACGGAUCUCUUGGUUCUGGCAUCGAUGAAGAACGCAGCGAAAUGCGAUAAGUAAUGUGAAUUGCAGAAUUCAGUGAAUCAUCGAAUCUUUGAACGCACAUUGCGCCCGCCAGUAUUCUGGCGGGCAUGCCUGUCCGAGCGUCAUUUCAACCCUCGAACCCCUCCGGGGGGUCGGCGUUGGGGAUCGGCCCUCCCUUAGCGGGUGGCCGUCUCCGAAAUACAGUGGCGGUCUCGCCGCAGCCUCUCCUGCGCAGUAGUUUGCACACUCGCAUCGGGAGCGCGGCGCGUCCACAGCCGUUAAACACCCAACUUCUGAAAUGUUGAC
RNAcentral lists this ribosomal RNA (497 nucleotides) under Trichoderma harzianum. Its description in RNAcentral is "eukaryotic LSU rRNA". The stretch from base 163 to 316 matches the Rfam family "5.8S ribosomal RNA". Lineage: Eukaryota; Fungi; Ascomycota; Sordariomycetes; Hypocreales; Hypocreaceae. The record is from RNAcentral.